GAGCACACAGGUGGAUACCUUGGCACGACAGGCGAUGAAGGACGUAGCAGGCUGCGAAAAGCCUGGGGGAGCUGCCAACAAGCGAUGAUCCCAGGAUAUCCGAAUGGGGCAACCCACGUGGCGUCAUGGUCACGUACUCCGCGAUGAAUACAAUAGUCGCGGUAGAGCAUACCCGGUGAACUGAAACAUCUAAGUAGCCGGAGGAAAAGACAUCAACCGAGAUUCCCGUAGUAGUGGCGAGCGAACCGGGAAGAGCCUAAACCCCGCACGUGUAAGCAUAGCAGCGUUGCGUGAAGGGGGGUUGCACGGCAAUCAGUCGAGGGUGCUAUACCUCGAGGUCAGUAAGAAAUCCGAUCGAAAGACGAAGCCGGCUGGAAAGCCGCACCAAAGACGGUGAUAGUCCCGUAAUCGAAUUCGUUCGGACUGACUCGAUUGUUCGUAAGUAGGGCGGGNNAGGGAAAGGUGAAAAGAACCCCCGAAGGGGAGUGAAAUAGAACAUGAAACCGUGUGCUUACAAACCGUGAAAGGCCAAUGCGCAAGCAAGGCUAAUCGCGUGCCUAUUGAAGAAUGAACCUGCGAGUUACGUGGUACAGGCUUGGUUAAGGUGAUGAGCCGGAGCCGCAGCGAAAGCGAGUCUGAAUAGGGCAAUUCGUCUGUAUCAGUAGACCCGAAACCAAGCGAUCUAUCCAUGAGCAGGCUGAAGCAUGAUUAAUCUCAUGUGGAGGGCCGAACCUGUUGUUGUUGAAAAAACAUUGGAUGACUUGUGGAUAGGGGUGAAAAGCCAAUCGAGCUUGGAGAUAGCUGGUUCUCCCCGAAAUAGUUUGAGGACUAGCGUUGCGUAUUAAACCUUGGGGGUAGAGCACUGACAGGGCUAGGGGCCUUACCGGGUUACCGAACCCCAUCAAACUCCGAAUACCAGGGCGUAUCGCGCAGCAGUCAGACGGUGGGGGAUAAGCUCCAUCGUCAAAAGGGAAACAGCCCAGAUCAUCAGCUAAGGUCCCUAAUCGAUGCUCAGUGGUAAAGGAAGUCGUUUCGCACAGACAACUAGGAGGUUGGCUUAGAAGCAGCCACCCUUGAAAGAGUGCGUAAUAGCUCACUAGUCGAGUGAGGCGGCGCCGAAAAUGUAACGGGGCUCAAGCAUCGAACCGAAGCUAUGGGAUUACGCAAGUAAUCGGUAGGGGAGCGUUGUCGCGUAGGCUGAAGCCAGACCGUGAGGACUGGUGGACGAACGACAAGUGCGAAUGCAGGUAUAAGUAGCGAGAAAUGCGGGUGAGAACCCCGCACGCCGGAAGUCUAAGGUUUCCUGAGCUACGUCAAUCGUCUCAGGGUGAGUCGGGUCCUAAGCCGAGGCUGAGAAGCGUAGGCGAUGGCCAAGCCGUUCAUAUUCGGCUACCACCGACGUCAGUUUAGACUUUCUCGAACAGCGGCCGGCCACGAGCGAUCGUGGUCGUUUGGUGUUCGUUGAAGUCUAUGAAGUGAAGGGAUGACGCAGGAGGAUAGGUCAGCACACUAUCGGAUGUGUGUCGAAGCAGGUAGGGGGUCAGAUAGGCAAAUCCGUCUGGCAACUCCGAGAUGCGAGUGCGAGGACCCUUGUGGUCCGAAGUGAUUGACUCCACGCUGCCAAGAAAAGUCUCUAGCAAUGACAUAGGUGCCCGUACCGUACACCGACACAGGUAGACUGGCAGAGCAUGCUAAGGCGACGGGAGAACCCCUGUUAAGGAACUCGGCAAAUUAACCCCGUAACUUUGGGAGAAGGGGUGCCCCUUUUGGUCUAGUCUUCACGACGAAAGCUGAGGGGGGUCGCAGUGAAUAGGCCCAAGCGACUGUUUAACAAAAACACAGGUCUCUGCGAACGCGAAAGCGGACGUAUAGGGGCUGACUCCUGCCCGGUGCUGGAAGGUUAAAAGGAGAGGUUAGCGCAAGCGAAGCUUUGAAUUGAAGCCCCAGUAAACGGCGGCGGUAACUAUAACCGUCCUAAGGUAGCGAAAUUCCUUGUCGGGUAAGUUCCGACCUGCACGAAUGGAGUAACGACUUGGGCACUGUCUCGAUGGGGGGCCCGGCGAAAUUGCAGUACCAGUGAAGAUGCUGGUUACCCGCGGCAGGACGGAAAGACCCCAUGAAGCUUUACUGUAUCCUGAUUAUGGGUCUUGAGAUUAUCUGCACAGGAUAGGUGGGAGGCGUUGAUCCGAGGGCUCUGGUCUACGGGGAGCCAACGUUGGGAUACCACCCUGAAAAUCUU
Molecule: ribosomal RNA, 2239 nt
Rfam family: Bacterial large subunit ribosomal RNA